This 2387-nucleotide long non-coding RNA is filed under the name Homo sapiens (human). RNAcentral describes it as "non-protein coding UPK1A-AS1:3". The stretch from base 1344 to 1490 matches the Rfam family "Metazoan signal recognition particle RNA". The record is from RNAcentral. Lineage: Eukaryota; Metazoa; Chordata; Mammalia; Primates; Hominidae.
CUGGCCCUGGUCGGUGUCCGCGCUGUAGAAGUAUUUACAGGCAAGUGACUUGGCAUCUAGAAUGUGCUUCAAAAUACCCAGAAGAAAAAGUAUGAGAGAAGGGGGAUAGAGGAGACAAUGUCGGGCAGUCUGCAGCUGAUGUUGUUGAAAUCAGUGUCCCCAUCCCCCAACCCCUGGAGUCUCACCGUGAGGACCAUGGACCGGCGGCGGCAGAGUGCGGCACCCACACCAAAACUGGCUACCAUGAAGAAGGAGAAGCCGCAGAAGAUGGCAAUCCAGGCACCAGCGAAGACGUCAUCCUUGCCUGAGACUCCCAUCAGUGGGUAUACACGGUACUGGUCGGCUGUCACCCAUAUGGUCUCAGCAAACAGGGACAGGCCUGACAGCUGGACAGAGCGGUGGGUUAGGAAGGUCUGCUCGGGGCCAGCAGCCCUGGCACCAGGCAUCUCCACGAGCAAGUUCCCUCCCCAUUUGGAGCCUCCACUGCCCUCUCAGUAAAGUGGGCAAAGACCUCGCCUUCCAUGAGCAGCGAUGAGGGUGAGCAGAGGCCAGGAGAGAAGAGACAGCCCAGCCAGACAACCGACCCCCACGCCCCAGCUGCCAGUUUCUUCGGGGAUAAAAGGGGAUGCCACGUGGAAAGGCUGGAGCAGUGGACUGGCACAGAGGAGAUGCUUGGUCCAUCUGCCCUCCCUUGACAGUGCUGUUAUUCCCCGAGGAGGGGAACAUGGCCAUGGCCAUAAACAUUACAAAUGGGCCAGGCAAGGUGGCUCACACCUGCAGUCCCAGCAUUGUGGGAGGCCGAGGCGGGAGGAUUGCUUGAGCCCAGGAGUUUGAGACUAGCCUGGGCAAUAGUGAGACCCCGUCUCUACAAAAAAUAAAAAAAUUAGCUAGAUGUGGUGAUGUGCACCUGUAGUCCCAGCUACUUGGGAGGCUGAGGCAGGAGGAUCAGUUGAGCCCAGGAGUUGGAGGCUGCAGUGAGCAAGCAUCACACCACUGCACUGCAGCCUGGUCAACAGAGUGAGACCCUGUCUCUAAAACAAACACACGGCCAGUCGCGGUGGCUUACACCUGUAAUCCCAACACUUUGGGAGGCUGAGGUGGGCAGAUCACCUCAGGUCAGGAGUUCAAGACCAGCCUGGCCAACAUGGUGAAACCCCAUCUCUUCUAAAAAUACAAAAAGUAGCCGGGUGUGGUAGCAUGUGCCUGUAAUCCCAGCUGCUCGGGAAGCUGAGGCAGGAGAAUUGCUGGAGCCCAGGAGGUGGAGGAUGCAGUGAGCCGAGAUCUCGCCACUGCACUUCAGCCUGGGUGACAAAGGGAGAAUCUGUCUGAAAAAAAAAAAAUUAGCCGGGCGUGGUGGUGUGCGCCUGUAAUCCCAGCUAUUCUGGAGGCUGAGGCAGGAGAAUCACUUGAGCCCGGGAGUUAGAGGUUGCAGUUAGCUGAGAUCAGCCACUGCACUCCAGCCUGGGCAACAGAGUGAGACUCCGUCUCAAAAACAAAACAAAACAAAACAAAACAAAACAAAACAAAACAAAAAACACAAAACCAAAACCCAAUGUUAAUUGAAAGACACUGUUGUUUUUCCUUCUUGUGGCCUCCUGUGCACCAGGCUGUCACUUUAUAUCCAUAGUGAUGCUGAUGGUGAUAGCCAGCAUUGGUCGGGCACUUUCUCUGAGCUGAGGGCCACACAUGGAUUAAUCCACAUGACAACAGCCCACACAAUGAGGACACAGUCUAUAGAUGAGGAAAGAAGGCACAGAGAGGGACAGUCGCUUGCUAAGGUCACAGAGCUGGGGAGAGGCAGAGCUGGGAUUUCAACCCAGGCUGUGCUGACCACUGAGUCUGCCCGAGAGACAGUUCUGGACCCUCAUCCCCCACCCCGAGCUCAGGACUGUCCCCUCCCCACCACACAACCACUCGGCUCCCAGCACUGGGGCGAGUCUCACCAGAAUAAUGAUAUUGCCCACAACUAGCAGGCCCACCACAACUGGAGAUCCCUUCUCGGCCUCCGCUGCUGCCGCAGACGCCAUCAUCCUGGGACACAUGAGCAGGGAUGAGGCCAGGAGCGUAAAGGGCCAGCCGGACCCCCCAUCUCUGAGCCACACCCUGGCUUCGAGGGGUUGCUCCAGCUCUCUGCGGGGCCCAGGCUGGUACUGAUGUACCCACAGCCCUGGUGGGGAGGCAUUUUGCACAAGAGGACACCCGGGCUCCGGUGGGGCAGUCACUGGCCUGAACUUGGCACUGCCCCUCCCUGAGCCUCAGACCCCUCAUGCCAUACCCAGACUCCCAGGGCCCCCUCCUCACCUUCUCUGUCUGCAGCCUCUCUGGCCAGCCCCACCCACCGUGGCUCCCUAUAUACGCCCAGGCCCCUCCUUGGGCUAGUCUCCCAG